Non-coding RNA from Chelonoidis abingdonii (Abingdon island giant tortoise), 104 nucleotides. The record is from RefSeq and is a predicted model, not a curated record. Lineage: Eukaryota; Metazoa; Chordata; Testudines; Testudinidae.
GGGUGUCACGGAGUGUGGGGGAGUCAGGGCCCUGUACCCCUCUUCCUGAGAUUCACUGUGACUUUCAGCCAACCAGUAAAACAGAAGUUUAAUUGAAGAGUAAG